This 201-nucleotide unclassified non-coding RNA is filed under the name uncultured Sordariomycetes. RNAcentral describes it as "sequence contains ITS1". Lineage: Eukaryota; Fungi; Ascomycota; Sordariomycetes. The record is from RNAcentral.
CCGAGUCUUCGUACUCAAAACAACCCUUCUGUGGACCUGAAUAAAACCGUUGCCUCGGCAGGCGGCCCUACCUACGGGCCAGAUAGCCCAGCUGCCUCCAGGGAGGAAACCCCCCCCUGAGGGCGCUGGCGCCAGCCGCUGGCCCCAAACCAAAACUCUAGUAACUUUUACCUUCUGAGUUUUAAUGCAAGAAAUAAGUCA